RNAcentral lists this ribosomal RNA (253 nucleotides) under uncultured bacterium. RNAcentral describes it as "partial 16S ribosomal RNA". It matches the Rfam family "Bacterial small subunit ribosomal RNA", at positions 524 to 776 of the family's 1533-position model. The record is from RNAcentral.
GACAGAGGAUGCAAGCGUUAUCCGGAUUCACUGGGUUUAAAGGGUGCGUAGGCGGGUUGGUAAGUCCGUGGUGAAAUCCCCAAGCUUAACUUGGGAACUGCCGUGGAUACUAUCAAUCUUGAAUAUCGUGGAGGUAAGCGGAAUAUGUCAUGUAGCGGUGAAAUGCUUAGAUAUGACAUAGAACACCAAUUGCGUAGGCAGCUUACUACACGAUCAUUGACGCUGAGGCACGAAAGCGUGGGGAGCAAACAGG